RNAcentral lists this ribosomal RNA (1288 nucleotides) under Nocardia sp. R-20820. Its description in RNAcentral is "bacterial SSU rRNA". It matches the Rfam family "Bacterial small subunit ribosomal RNA", at positions 64 to 1368 of the family's 1533-position model. Lineage: Bacteria; Bacillati; Actinomycetota; Actinomycetes; Mycobacteriales; Nocardiaceae. The record is from RNAcentral.
GAGCGGUAAGGCCCUUCGGGGUACACGAGCGGCGAACGGGUGAGUAACACGUGGGUGAUCUGCCUCGCACUCUGGGAUAAGCCUGGGAAACUGGGUCUAAUACCGGAUAUGACCUUACAUCGCAUGGUGUUUGGUGGAAAGAUUUAUCGGUGCGAGAUGGGCCCGCGGCCUAUCAGCUUGUUGGUGGGGUAAUGGCCUACCAAGGCGACGACGGGUAGCCGGCCUGAGAGGGCGACCGGCCACACUGGGACUGAGACACGGCCCAGACUCCUACGGGAGGCAGCAGUGGGGAAUAUUGCACAAUGGGCGAAAGCCUGAUGCAGCGACGCCGCGUGAGGGAUGACGGCCUUCGGGUUGUAAACCUCUUUCGACAGGGACGAAGCGCAAGUGACGGUACCUGUAGAAGAAGCACCGGCCAACUACGUGCCAGCAGCCGCGGUAAUACGUAGGGUGCGAGCGUUGUCCGGAAUUACUGGGCGUAAAGAGCUUGUAGGCGGCUUGUCGCGUCGAUCGUGAAAACUUGGGGCUCAACCCCAAGCUUGCGGUCGAUACGGGCAGGCUUGAGUACUUCAGGGGAGACUGGAAUUCCUGGUGUAGCGGUGAAAUGCGCAGAUAUCAGGAGGAACACCGGUGGCGAAGGCGGGUCUCUGGGAAGUAACUGACGCUGAGAAGCGAAAGCGUGGGUAGCGAACAGGAUUAGAUACCCUGGUAGUCCACGCCGUAAACGGUGGGUACUAGGUGUGGGUUUCCUUCCACGGGAUCCGUGCCGUAGCUAACGCAUUAAGUACCCCGCCUGGGGAGUACGGCCGCAAGGCUAAAACUCAAAGGAAUUGACGGGGGCCCGCACAAGCGGCGGAGCAUGUGGAUUAAUUCGAUGCAACGCGAAGAACCUUACCUGGGUUUGACAUACACCGGAAACCUGCAGAGAUGUAGGCCCCCUUGUGGUCGGUGUACAGGUGGUGCAUGGCUGUCGUCAGCUCGUGUCGUGAGAUGUUGGGUUAAGUCCCGCAACGAGCGCAACCCUUAUCUUAUGUUGCCAGCGCGUAAUGGCGGGGACUCGUGAGAGACUGCCGGGGUCAACUCGGAGGAAGGUGGGGACGACGUCAAGUCAUCAUGCCCCUUAUGUCCAGGGCUUCACACAUGCUACAAUGGCCGGUACAGAGGGCUGCGAUACCGUGAGGUGGAGCGAAUCCCUUAAAGCCGGUCUCAGUUCGGAUCGGGGUCUGCAACUCGACCCCGUGAAGUUGGAGUCGCUAGUAAUCGCAGAUCAGCAACGCUGCGGUGAAUA